CCUACGGGCGGCAGCAGUGAGGAAUAUUGGUCAAUGGGCGCGAGCCUGAACCAGCCAAGUAGCGUGAAGGAUGACGGCCCUAUGGGUUGUAAACUGCUUUUAUAAAGGAAUAAAGUGAGGCACGUGUGCCUUUUUGUAUGUACUUUAUGAAUAAGGAUCGGCUAACUCCGUGCCAGCAGCCGCGGUAAUACGGAGGGUCCGAGCGUUAUCCGGAUUUAUUGGGUUUAAAGGGAGCGUAGAUGGGGUGUUAAGUCAGUUGUGAAAGUGUGCGGCUCAACCGUAGAAUUGCAAUGGAGACUGGCAUGCUUGAGUACAGGUGAGGUAGGCGGAAUUCGUGGUGUAGCGGUGAAAUGCUUAGAUAUCACGAAGAACUCCGAUUGCGAAGGCAGCUUACUAAACUGCCACUGACGUUGAUGCUCGAAAGUGUGGGUAUCAAACAGGAUUAGAUACCCUUGUAGUC
RNAcentral lists this ribosomal RNA (460 nucleotides) under uncultured bacterium. RNAcentral describes it as "partial 16S ribosomal RNA". It matches the Rfam family "Bacterial small subunit ribosomal RNA", at positions 338 to 795 of the family's 1533-position model. The record is from RNAcentral.